AGGCCCAGGGCGGCGCGGUCUUUUCCCCGAAGCUGCGUCCGCUGCAGCGCAAUCCGGACCUAAACCGGUUAACGCAUCCACUGAAUACCCCCGAGUUCAGUGGAAGAUGCUUAGAGACAAAGACAAGCAGUUAGAUACCCUGGGAGAAGCAGAACUGCUCUCAGUAGACGCAAGCAUCUCAUUUGAAACAGCGUAGGGGAAGCAGAAGAAGAAGAAGAAUCAGAAGAAGAAGACACUAUGGCCUCGAUUUUGUGCAUGCUUUUGUGGAAAACGCUGCCUAGCAAGGCACGGAAUGGCUGCCAGAUCCUGGCUGUGAGCUGGAGAACGUGUCAGUCACCGGGCAAGACCAGCUUUCAGCCCCCAUGCCCUGGAGAUGUGCCAAGAUCCUAAGACAACAGGGCCUUCCCGGAGCUCCUGAAUGAAUCUCCUUAACACACCCUAUCAAUCUUCCCUUAUCCACUCAUUCCAGGCUGUUCAGGGCUCUGAUAGCCUCAGCUAUCCAAGCCAUCGUGGGUCGUCAGUCAUCACUGAUAACUUUAGUAUCACGCAGGAAAGCUUAAUCAAACUUUCCUGGUUCAAUGUCUCACCCCAGAGAUGACUAUUAAGUUAUUGUUUUGGGGCAGCAGACGUAAUCCUGCUCCAGGGUAUGUUCUACAGUAUACUCGGAUUACCCCUCUGCCAUAGUUGUGUGCAGUGCCCUCGGAUCUAGCAUCCACCCUCAGACUUUGGUCUGAGCUCAUCUUGCACUGAAGCGCUGGUCACUCGACUCUCUCUCUCUCAGGGACUGGUAACCACCCCCCAAAACUGCAACUCUUUCCAAUUUUCCUCCCUGCUUUUCUAGUCACCUCUGUACAUGUGCUGUCUAUCUUGU
Eublepharis macularius is the source of this 871-nucleotide long non-coding RNA. RefSeq lists it as uncharacterized. The transcript is spliced from 3 exons. The record is from RefSeq and is a predicted model, not a curated record. Lineage: Eukaryota; Metazoa; Chordata; Lepidosauria; Squamata; Eublepharidae.